CCUACGGGUGGCAGCAGUGAGGAAUAUUGGUCAAUGGGCGGAAGCCUGAACCAGCCAAGUCGCGUGAGGGAAUAAGGCCCUACGGGUCGUAAACCUCUUUUGCCGGGGAGCAAGGGCGGGGACGUGUCCCGUCCCGGAGAGUACCCGGAGAAAAAGCAUCGGCUAACCCCGUGCCAGCAGCCGCGGUAAUACGGAGGAUGCGAGCGUUAUCCGGCUUUAUUGGGUUAAAAGGGUGCGUAGGCAGGCUUUUAAGUCAGGGGUAAAAAUUCGGGGCUCAACCCCGUCCGGCCGUUGAAACUGGGGGCCUUGAGUGGGCGAGAAGAAGGCGGAAUGCGUGGUGUAGCGGUGAAAUGCAUAGAUAUCACGCAGAACCCUGAUUGCGAAGGCAGCCUUCCGGCGCCCUACUGACGCUGAGGCACGAAAGUGCGGGGAUCGAACAGGAUUAGAUACCCCUGUAGUC
Molecule: ribosomal RNA, 460 nt
Filed under: uncultured bacterium
Lineage: Bacteria
Description: partial 16S ribosomal RNA
Rfam family: Bacterial small subunit ribosomal RNA
Source: RNAcentral